UCAUUUUGGACAGCUCCCUCAUCCUCUCUUUAACCUCAAAAUCUGUGUCAUGUAAGGUCCCUAGACAGUUAUCCGACGGUUCUAAACCUAAAACAUAGCAUCCACCGAGCCACACAUUGCCACACUCUCCACCCUUAAAACAGAAACAGCUAAAACGUACCGUCACUGAACAGACAACCCUAAAUGCACCUACCAGUAGCAGGAUCAGCUGCAGUACCGUGGGGUCAGCACUUUCAGCCAGCCAAAACAAACCAACACGGCAAACGAACAGGCAAAGCCAGAAAGACCCUUUUUUUCUUCUUUUAUCUUUUUUCCCCUCUUUUGGAGCUCUCACUUCUUCUUAAAUAAACAAGAAAAAGUAGGAUUAAGGUUGUUUUGGGUUAUUCUUAUUUUUUGUUGUUGAAGUAAAGAGUUUCUAGAGAUAGAAGUGGGGGGAAAUGGUGAACCCAAGAUGUUAUAUGGACAUAAGUAUAGGAGGAGAAUUCGAAGGGAGGAUAGUAAUAGAGUUGUAUAAGGAUGUUGUGCCCAAAACUGCUGAAAAUUUCAGGGCUUUGUGCACCGGUGAGAAAGGCGUUGGACCCAACACUGGUGUUUCUCUGCAUUACAAGGGUAUGCGAUUUCAUCGGAUUAUCAGAGGUUUUAUGAUACAAGGUGGGGAUAUAUCAGCUGGUGAUGGAACUGGAGGAGAAUCCAUUUAUGACUUGAAAUUUGAAGAUGAAAAUUUUGAGUUAAAACAUGAAAGAAAAGGAAUGUUAUCAAUGGCUAAUAUGGGGCCUAAUACUAAUGGAUCUCAAUUCUUUAUUACAACUAACCGAACACCGCAUCUUGAUGGAAAACAUGUGGUUUUUGGGAAAGUUAUAAAGGGAAUGGGGGUUGUUCGUUCGAUUGAGCAUGUUGCUACCAAGGAUGGUGAUUACCCCACUCAAGAGGUUAUAAUUGCAGAUUGUGGAGAAAUUCCCGAAGGGGCAGAUGAUGGAAUAUCAAACUUUUUUAAGGAUGGUGAUAUUUAUCCUGAUUGGCCGGCUGACCUUGACAAAAAGCCUGAUGAAAUUUCUUGGUGGAUGGAGGCAGUGGACUCGAUCAAAGCAGUUGGAAAUGAGCAAUACAAGAAACAAGACUAUAAAGUUGCUCUCAGAAAAUAUUGGAAGGCUUUGCGCUACUUGGAUGUAUGUUGGGAGAAAGAGGGCAUCGAUGAAGCGAAGAGCUCAUCUUUGCAGAAGACCAAAUCUCAGAUAUUUACAAACAGUUCUAUUCUCAUUAAUGGAAUCAGCUUUAUAAUGGUUGGUUUGGCAGUAUGUGAUAGCCUGCAAGUUGAAACUAGGCGAUCUAAAAGGAGCAUUGCUGGACACAGACUUUGCAAUUCGAGUUGGAGAAGAUAAUGUGAAAGCUUUCUUUCGCCAAGGCCAGGCAUACAUGGCACUUAAUGACAUUGAUGCUGCAGUAGAAAGCUUUAAAAAGGCAUUGGACUUGGAGCCAAAAGAUGGUUAGUGCAAUAUUUUCUCCUCUCCUUGAAAACAAUCUUCCAUUUUCUUCCUCCCCUUUUAUUCUUUUGAGGUUAAAAGGGGAUUUUUAGGCUUUGAGUCAUCGAUUUAAUUUGCAUAUAGAAAUGUGUGGAACUUAAAUGUUGAAUAAUUGUUAACCUAGAUUAUUUGCAUUGUCCUUGGUACUCAUUCAUCUACACCGCGUUUUCUUCCCUACAGGCGGAAUAAAGAAAGAACUUGCAGCUGCGAGGAAGAAGAUCGCUGCUAGACGAGACCAGGAGAAAAAGGCGUACUCUAGAAUGUUUCAGUAG
Molecule: RNA transcript, 1792 nt
Organism: Hibiscus syriacus
Lineage: Eukaryota; Viridiplantae; Streptophyta; Magnoliopsida; Malvales; Malvaceae
Gene name: peptidyl-prolyl cis-trans isomerase CYP40-like
Exons: 8
Source: RefSeq, a predicted model, not a curated record